This 402-nucleotide long non-coding RNA is filed under the name Setaria viridis. RNAcentral's name for it is "long non-coding RNA (SVIR_LNC001252)". The record is from RNAcentral. Lineage: Eukaryota; Viridiplantae; Streptophyta; Magnoliopsida; Poales; Poaceae.
CAAGUAGAAGGGAUGCAUUGUCUUCGUAGCUGUUCAUGUCAACAAUGUUCAGAUUUGAAAUGCUUUUAGUGUAUAUAUAUGUGAUGGGAUUUGGGUACGACCUUUAGAGCAUUUUAAAUUGACUAAUUUUUUUAGGUUUCUCAAAUUUUUCAACAAAUUAAUUUAUUUUCUUUAUUUAGUUGCCUACAGAAACCAUGUUCCAAAUUUAAACUGGCAUAAAAUAACCUCACGUAUGAGUGUUGCAUUUUUGAAUGUUUCUAAACCCUUAACCUUUUGACCUUCUUUCAGAUUUAAAAUCUAUCCAAAUUUCAAUCAACUCAGAAUUCUUCACAAAAUCAAAACAUAUUGUUUAAUCCUAAAACCUCUCUUAGGAUAAAUCCCUCUAUCCCAUCUAGCCCUGCC